AGCAGUAGCCACGGUAAUACGAAGGGGGCUAGCGUUGCUCGGAAUUACUGGGCGUAAAGGGAGCGUAGGCGGGUCGUUUAGUCAGAGGUGAAAUCCCGGGGCUCAACCUCGGAACUGCCUUUGAUACUGGCGACCUUGAGUAUGGGAGAGGUGAGUGGAACUCCGAGUGUAGAGGUGAAAUUCGUAGAUAUUCGGAAGAACACCAGUGGCGAAGGCGACUCACUGGCCCAUUACUGACGCUGAGAGACGAAAGCUAGGGGAGCAAAUGGGAUUAGAUACCCCCGUAGUCCCUGUCUCUUAUAC
RNAcentral lists this ribosomal RNA (303 nucleotides) under uncultured bacterium. RNAcentral's name for it is "partial 16S ribosomal RNA". It matches the Rfam family "Bacterial small subunit ribosomal RNA", at positions 507 to 807 of the family's 1533-position model. The record is from RNAcentral.